RNAcentral lists this ribosomal RNA (535 nucleotides) under uncultured Saccharomycetes. RNAcentral describes it as "SSU rRNA". It matches the Rfam family "Eukaryotic small subunit ribosomal RNA", at positions 29 to 565 of the family's 1831-position model. The record is from RNAcentral. Lineage: Eukaryota; Fungi; Ascomycota; Saccharomycetes.
UGCUUGUCUCAAAGAUUAAGCCAUGCAUGUCUAAGUAUAAGCAAUUUAUACAGUGAAACUGCGAAUGGCUCAUUAAAUCAGUUAUCGUUUAUUUGAUAGUUCCUUUACUACAUGGUAUAACUGUGGUAAUUCUAGAGCUAAUACAUGCUUAAAAUCUCGACCCUUUGGAAGAGAUGUAUUUAUUAGAUAAAAAAUCAAUGUCUUCGGACUCUUUGAUGAUUCAUAAUAACUUUUCGAAUCGCAUGGCCUUGUGCUGGCGAUGGUUCAUUCAAAUUUCUGCCCUAUCAACUUUCGAUGGUAGGAUAGUGGCCUACCAUGGUUUCAACGGGUAACGGGGAAUAAGGGUUCGAUUCCGGAGAGGGAGCCUGAGAAACGGCUACCACAUCCAAGGAAGGCAGCAGGCGCGCAAAUUACCCAAUCCUAAUUCAGGGAGGUAGUGACAAUAAAUAACGAUACAGGGCCCAUUCGGGUCUUGUAAUUGGAAUGAGUACAAUGUAAAUACCUUAACGAGGAACAAUUGGAGGGCAAGUCUGGU